GUGGAGGAGGACGCCUUUCUCCGAGUGUGCGGCCUCGUCGAAGGAAGAACUUGUCGGAACGAAGAUCUCCUGGAGAAGACGGCUGUUGUUGCCUGGAGGAACGGCCGAUCGAAUGUGGAGCAACGAACUUGGAACUUCCAGGAAAGAGGAGAAAAUAAUCUCAGUCAGUAGAUCGAUGAUCCUUCCUGAGAAGUAUCAUACCUUUAUUAUUAUCGUUCCAUGGAAAGAUGGAGGCGCUAGACCGAGAGAAGAAGAGUACGAAGAGAUACAAAAGGACAAGGAGGAUGAGGAAGAAGAAGAAGAAAAAGAAGAAGAAAAAAAGGAAAAAAAGAAGACUAUUCGUGGGAGCACGUUUCAUUCGUCAUAACACAUCGUGAAAGAAAGCUGGAGGUGUAUAUUGUAUAUGCGUGAAUCGAGUCAAAAAAAAAUAUAUAUAUAUAUAGAAAUUGAUAAAGAGAAAAAGAGAGAGAGAGAGAGAGGAAGAGAAAGAGAGAUAGAAAAAGAGAAAGAGAGAGAAAAAGAGAGAGAAACAAAGACAGAGAAAGAAAAAGAAAAACAAAUACAGAAAAAGAGAGAGAGAGAGAGAGAGAGAGGAAGAGAGACGUAUCCAUAAUAUAAGAAUCUCUUUUAGUUAGAUAGAAAUUGUGUGAGCGUGAGCACGCACACACGAGCGAACGAACGAACGAGAGAACGAGCACCUUGUCAGAAUCGUCGAGAAAAAGUCGAGUAUGCCCUUACAAGUCCGCGAGCAACGCGUUGCAACUCGUUCGCGGUGAGCACACGUUUCUAUUGGGUGUCGCACCUACGGAUAUCUCCUGGCAAGACUAUUUAU
Long non-coding RNA from Vespula vulgaris, 832 nucleotides. RefSeq lists it as uncharacterized. The record is from RefSeq and is a predicted model, not a curated record. The transcript is spliced from 3 exons. NCBI's taxonomy places the organism in Eukaryota, Metazoa, Arthropoda, Insecta, Hymenoptera, Vespidae.